UACGGGGGGUGCGAGCGUUGUUCGGAAUUAUUGGGCGUAAAGCGCGUGUAGGCGGUUUGUUAAGUCUGUUGAAAGCCCCGGGCUCAACCCGGGAAGUGCACUGGAUACUGGCAGACUUGAAUACGGGAGAGGGUAGUGGAAUUCCUGGUGUAGGAGUGAAAUCCGUAGAUAUCAGGAGGAACACCGGUGGCGAAGGCGGCUGCCUGGACCGAUAUUGACGCUGAGACGCGAAAGCGUGGGUAGCA
Molecule: ribosomal RNA, 245 nt
Filed under: uncultured bacterium
Lineage: Bacteria
Description: partial 16S ribosomal RNA
Rfam family: Bacterial small subunit ribosomal RNA
Source: RNAcentral